CUGCGUCUAACUAUUCAAGAAGCAACCAAUUCUCUUGCUGUUGCUUACAAGGAUGCACCAUCAAAUGUUUUGAAGAAUUUGGAGUCACUUCUGCUGAAAAGUUAUAAAGUGG
This is a long non-coding RNA of Ipomoea nil (Japanese morning glory), 112 nucleotides long. RefSeq lists it as uncharacterized. The transcript is spliced from 2 exons. NCBI's taxonomy places the organism in Eukaryota, Viridiplantae, Streptophyta, Magnoliopsida, Solanales, Convolvulaceae. The record is from RefSeq and is a predicted model, not a curated record.